This 433-nucleotide ribosomal RNA is filed under the name uncultured bacterium. Its description in RNAcentral is "partial 16S ribosomal RNA". It matches the Rfam family "Bacterial small subunit ribosomal RNA", at positions 29 to 507 of the family's 1533-position model. The record is from RNAcentral.
AACGAACGCUGGCGGCAUGCCUAACACAUGCAAGUCGAACGAUGCCUUCGGGCAUAGUGGCGCACGGGUGCGUAACGCGUGGGAAUCUGCCUUUCGGUUCGGAAUAACUCAGGGAAGCUUGAGCUAAUACCGGAUAACGUCGCAAGACCAAAGAUUUAUCACCGAAAGAUGAGCCCGCGUAGGAUUAGCUAGUUGGUGAGGUAAAGGCUCACCAAGGCGACGAUCCUUAGCUGGUCUGAGAGGAUGAUCAGCCACACUGGGACUGAGACACGGCCCAGACUCCUACGGGAGGCAGCAGUGGGGAAUAUUGGACAAUGGGCGAAAGCCUGAUCCAGCAAUGCCGCGUGAGUGAUGAAGGCCUUAGGGUUGUAAAGCUCUUUUACCCGGGAAGAUAAUGACGGUACCGGGAGAAUAAGCCCCGGCUAACUCCGUG